CCUACGGGAGGCAGCAGUGGGGAAUUUUGGACAAUGGGCGCAAGCCUGAUCUAGCCAUCCCGCGUGAGUGAGGAAGCCCUUAGGGUAGUAAAGUUCUUUCGCCAGGGAAGAUAAGGCCAGUACCUGGUAAAGAAACCCGGGCUAAUUCCGUGCCAGCAGCCGCGUUAAUACGGAGGGGGUAAGCGUUGUUCGAAAUUACUGGGCGUAAAGCGUACGUAGGCGGAUUGGAAAGUUGGGGGUGAAAUCCCAGGGUUCAACCCGGGAACUGCCUCCAAAACUACUAGUCUAGAUUUCGAGAGAGGUGAGUGGAAUUCCAAGUGUAGAGGUGAAAUUCGUAGAUAUUGGGAGGACCACCAGUGGGGAAGGCGGCUCACUGGCUAGAUACUGACGUUGAGGUACGAAAGUGUGGGGACCAACCAGGAUUAGAUCCCCUGGUAGUCCACCCCGUAAACGAUGAAUGCCAGUCGUCGGGGGGCUUGCCCUUCGGUGUCACACCUAACGCAUAAGCAUCCGC
RNAcentral lists this ribosomal RNA (514 nucleotides) under uncultured Alphaproteobacteria bacterium. Its description in RNAcentral is "bacterial SSU rRNA". It matches the Rfam family "Bacterial small subunit ribosomal RNA", at positions 338 to 872 of the family's 1533-position model. Lineage: Bacteria; Pseudomonadati; Pseudomonadota; Alphaproteobacteria. The record is from RNAcentral.